UGAUUCCAUGGCAUGUCACGUGCCCGACAUCUGUACCGCCGUUGACUGCUGCAUCUACAUCGACUUCCUGUCACGUGCCUUCAACGUCUUCCUGACAGUGGACAUGUGCACCUAUCAGCUGACGGUGGGCGUUGAAAAUCUGGUCUACAAACGGAUGUUGCUGGACUAUCAGUGGGGCACAGAAGAACA
This is a long non-coding RNA of Haliotis rubra (blacklip abalone), 189 nucleotides long. RefSeq lists it as uncharacterized. The record is from RefSeq and is a predicted model, not a curated record. NCBI's taxonomy places the organism in Eukaryota, Metazoa, Mollusca, Gastropoda, Lepetellida, Haliotidae. The transcript is spliced from 3 exons.